AAGUUAAUUAAAUUAGGUGGUUAUAGGCUUAGUUUGGUAUUAAGGUCUAUUUAACGCUAUUAGAUAAAAUGGAGUUGAGGAAAAAACAUAUAGAGAUAUGUUUUUGCGUUCUCAGGUGAAAUUGUAGAAAAUAUACCGUAAUCGAUUCAUCGCGAUAUGCGGAACGCAAUAUUACGUACGGAAACAAACAUGGUAUUUUUACAACGUACUUUCUCACCGCAUGUAACGCAAUCUCUCCAUAAUUCCAAACGAAGCCAUAGUAGGGGAUUUCUUA
Molecule: long non-coding RNA, 274 nt
Filed under: Ananas comosus (pineapple)
Lineage: Eukaryota; Viridiplantae; Streptophyta; Magnoliopsida; Poales; Bromeliaceae
Description: long non-coding RNA (ACOM_LNC002783)
Source: RNAcentral